AAUGUACGACGCCAUUGAUUUUUUAUCUAACGUUUGACCAUUCGUCUUAUUUAAAAAAUUUAUGUAAUUAUCAUUUAUUUUAUUGUGACUUUAUUCAACAUCAAAUGUUCUUUAAGCAUGACAUAAAUAUUUUCAUAUUUACACAAAAAAAUUAAAUAAAACGAAUGGUCAAACUUGGUCAAAAAAAUCAACGGCGCUAUACAUU
Molecule: microRNA precursor, 205 nt
Filed under: Oryza sativa Indica Group (long-grained rice)
Lineage: Eukaryota; Viridiplantae; Streptophyta; Magnoliopsida; Poales; Poaceae
Description: MIR812 microRNA precursor family
Rfam family: MIR812 microRNA precursor family
Source: Rfam by way of RNAcentral